GAAUCUGAGUUCAGAACAUCUCUAG
RNAcentral lists this non-coding RNA (25 nucleotides) under Rattus norvegicus (Norway rat). The record is from RNAcentral. Lineage: Eukaryota; Metazoa; Chordata; Mammalia; Rodentia; Muridae.